UUUGUGUCUUUUCCCUCCUUUUGAUUGCUGAUUAGUUUCACCUGCCCUCCAUUAGCCUUCCCUCAUCAGUCUCUUUUAGUCUGUGCUUUUCCCUCCCUCUUUUCUUUGUUGUGGUACCAUGUUUAUCAGGCUUUAGCUUUUCCUUGUGUUUAGUUCAGUUCAUUUUUGGAUCUUUGCUCUUGUGGAACGGCCUUUUUGGACUUCCUCCCCGGGUUUGACCGUGGCCUGCCUCAUCCUCAUAUGGACAUCACGCUGGAGGCCUGCUGGGGGACACAUGUGGUUGGCUGUGGACGAACUGGCGUGACAUGACUGUGAAGCAGCAGACUGUGGGCGGACGGCAGGAUGAUCGGCAGGCGACUGAUCCACUUCCACCAGAGGAAAGUCAAAGUCAAGUCAUUAGAGAACCACGGAUGCUGAUACCUCCCAUUCAUCCACACAAAGGAGAGGGGUGGAGCCGGCUGAGUGCACAACACCUGAGCAGGGCAGCAGGCGAGAGACUGGAAGCGCUGUUCUGAGAGUGGCUCAGUCCCCUUUGAGACGAUAGCAGAGCGAAGGAGAGCACAGCACAAAGUGGUGUCUGCGUGUGGUCGAGGAGGGCCGGACCACGGUACACUUACAGUACAGCACACAAGUCACAGGUGAGCUGAAAGGCUGCAGGCCAGCUCAGGUCGAGUGCUAGUUAGGAAGGUGGUGAGUCGU
Molecule: long non-coding RNA, 699 nt
Organism: Scatophagus argus
Lineage: Eukaryota; Metazoa; Chordata; Actinopteri; Scatophagidae
Exons: 5
Source: RefSeq, a predicted model, not a curated record